RNAcentral lists this ribosomal RNA (267 nucleotides) under uncultured Desulfobacterium sp. RNAcentral's name for it is "partial 16S ribosomal RNA". It matches the Rfam family "Bacterial small subunit ribosomal RNA", at positions 1117 to 1382 of the family's 1533-position model. The record is from RNAcentral. Lineage: Bacteria; Pseudomonadati; Thermodesulfobacteriota; Desulfobacteria; Desulfobacterales; Desulfobacteriaceae.
GCCAGGCGAUUCGGUCGGGGACUCUAGAGAUACUGCCCCGGUUAACGGGGAGGAAGGUGGGGAUGACGUCAAGUCCUCAUGGCCCUUAUGCCCAGGGCUACACACGUGCUACAAUGGGCGGGUACAAAGGGUAGCGAUGCCGCGAGGUGAAGCCAAUCCCAAAAAGCCGUCCACAGUUCGGAUUGGAGUCUGCAACUCGACUCCAUGAAGCCGGAAUCGCUAGUAAUCGUGGAUCAGCAUGCCACGGUGAAUACGUUCCCGGGCCUU